UGGUGCCUGGCCAGGGUGGGCGGUUUCAAUCAGUGGGCUUCCCCUAACAAUUCCAUAUAAUUAAACAUAAAUACCCAUAUUUUUAUUUAAAUAUUUUUUUUUCUUAUUACUAAGUCAUACAGGUUCAACCUAAAAGAGUUAGAAAAGACAAGAGAAGGAAAUUGAAAGUCUGAUUAAAGAAACAACUAGUCACCGUACCCACUCAGGCAUUUUUGUUUUUAUUAAUUUACAAAAGACCUACUCUGUGCCAGGUGUGGCACAAAAGUGCAUAAGACCAGCUCUUGCUGCUGGGGAUUUCAUAGUCUAGCAACCAGACAUGCAAACAGAUAAACUGGAAGACACUUUUCCACAGCUGUCUGAAUGGCACUUUUGAAAAAAGGAGGAACAGACUGCCUGCAAAAGUAAGCUAAGGCAGAUUCUCUACCACCUGAGCCAGACAUAACAGCUUUUACUCCGAUUCUGCACCAAUUCUUGUAUGCUACAUUCACUUCUCUGUUUCCUCUACCUCAAAGAAGUUGUACUUGCAUCUAAAGGGCUUUAGACAAGCCAGGUGGGAUGUCAUCCUCGCCCACUGCACAGUCGAUUUGAGGGAAGAAGAGGAGGAGGAGCAGAGAAAAUGCCCAAGGAUACAUCAUGGGAUUGUGCAAAUUGACAUCUGAGGAUAUCAAAAGGAUGUCUGCCACCGGGAGACACAGAUGUCACAGCUGAGCACAGAUGAGGACUCUUUGGACUGGAAGAGAAAACAAUGGACGUGUGUUUGGUGUGGAACAGAGAUGCUCCAGGCCCUGUCCCUCCAAGGCACCUUCACUUCCAGCAUCAUCAGGAACACUGUAGUCCAACUGCUGCCAUUCUAGACCCGGGAAGUGAACAGACAACAGAGGGGAAAACCAGCAAGGACAGGAGGACGUAAUAAAUACGGCAGAGGCUGUGGGAAAGCCUACGGGACAAGCAGCCCAACCCAGACAAGGCAAGUGUCAAAGACCUUUAAGGAACAACUUGGGAAGGAAAAACAACACUUGUUCCACCAGUGAUACAAACAAGAAAUGUAUCCUCAGAACUAAUACAGGUAUUCAUGUGUGUUGUCUAAAAGGGUUGUCUUUUACAGUUGGUGGUGGUGGUUUACUCACUAAGUCAUAACCAACUCUUGCGAACCCAUGGACUAUAGCCCUCCAGGUUUCUC
Odocoileus virginianus texanus is the source of this 1180-nucleotide non-coding RNA. The record is from RefSeq and is a predicted model, not a curated record. Lineage: Eukaryota; Metazoa; Chordata; Mammalia; Artiodactyla; Cervidae.